This 750-nucleotide long non-coding RNA is filed under the name Cervus hanglu yarkandensis (Yarkand deer). RNAcentral's name for it is "lncRNA (ENSCHYG00000009468.1)". Lineage: Eukaryota; Metazoa; Chordata; Mammalia; Artiodactyla; Cervidae. The record is from RNAcentral.
ACACUUCAAUGUUGAAAAACAAAUGGAAACAGUCCAAUUCAUUCCUUCCUCUCUCUCCUUAAUUUAAAGUUCCAGCUAAACAUUGACCUUUCUCACACAUGAAAAGAAAAAGUUAACAGUGAGGGAAAUCCCUCAGGUGUGAUGAUUUUGGCCAAGUGAACCUGUCCCAAUAGCUUCAGGGUCAUCCUGCUAGAGUUAUAAAGAACCAUCCUGCUCCCUGGGAACACAGUCUUCUUGGGCAUAAAAUUUCUCCAGCAUGCGUGUGCUUCAGCUUCUCUUCAAGACCAGCCCUGCUGCCCUUCUCCUGGGCCUCUGCCUAACACUGUGGACUGUCCCAACUCAAGGACAAAUGUUAAAAACACAUUGGAGGUCUCUGACACAGUCAUUUUUCCUUAUGGUAAUUUUCGUUUUACCAGCUGUCUGUGUGGUGUUAGUACAAGAAGAUUCUUCUGGGAGAUAGAAGCACCUGAAAAUGGGAUCAUAACAGGGAAGGCUCAAGUUGUGUCAGAGGAGAAUAUAUGCCCUCCUGGUGUGAAUAUCUCCACCCCUGUUUAUGAAGUUGUUAUCACACGUGAUGUCAUUAUAACACUCUGAUCUGGAAAAUCUGCCAUUUCUGAGUUGGUGGGCAUCUGUGUAGACUGGAAAAUAAACUUCCUACUGACUUCUCACUGUCUUAUCUGUGUUCUUUCCCCAAAACUCAGUACUGUGUCUACUCAGACAUCCCCCAGUCCUAAGGAACCAAUAUUUUUA